AGUGAACGCUGGCGGUAGGCCUAACACAUGCAAGUCGAACGGCAGCACAGUAAGAGCUUGCUCUUACGGGUGGCGAGUGGCGGACGGGUGAGGAAUACAUCGGAAUCUACUUUUUCGUGGGGGAUAACGGAGGGAAACUUACGCUAAUACCGCAUACGACCUACGGGUUAAAGCAGGGGAUCUUCGGACCUUUCGCGAUUGAAUGAGCCGAUGUCGGAUUAGCUAGUUGGCGGGGUAAAGGCCCACCAAGGCGACGAUCCGUAGCUGGUCUGAGAGGAUGAUCAGCCACACUGGAACUGAGACACGGUCCAGACUCCUACGGGAGGCAGCAGUGGGGAAUAUUGGACAAUGGGCGCAAGCCUGAUCCAGCCAUACCGCGUGGGUGAAGAAGGCCUUCGGGUUGUAAAGCCCUUUUGUUGGGAAAGAAAAGCAGCAGGUUAAUACCCCGCUGUUCUGACGGUACCCAAAGAAUAAGCACCGGCUAACUUCGUG
Molecule: ribosomal RNA, 492 nt
Filed under: uncultured bacterium
Lineage: Bacteria
Description: partial 16S ribosomal RNA
Rfam family: Bacterial small subunit ribosomal RNA
Source: RNAcentral